CUCAAGUGAUCCGCCGGCCUUGGCCUCCCAAAAUGCUGGGUCUACAGGCAUGAGCCACUGUGCCCAGCCUAAGAAUGUCACUUUCUAACAGGUCCAAGAACUCCAAGUUUAUCUUGGGACCUUAAGAGAAGAGAAUCACUCACCUCAGAGGCAUUUGAGGAUACAAACCCAUAACUGGGCUUGGCUUUAAAAGGUCUUAUCUGAGACUCCUUGUGAAACAGAGUUCCAUCAAAUCCAAUCCAAAAGGCCUAUGUAGAAAUAAUUAUUCUUCUUGCACUUUAUGCAAAUAAUCGGACCAAGUGUAAGACUACAAUCUAUUUUGCAAACAACUCAGUCCUAUCAUGAUUUAUGUUUUUUAUUGUUGUUGUUGUUUUGUUUUUGUUUUUGUUUUCCAAAAAUGAGAACGGAGAGAGAGAAAUUGUGUUUCAAAACUUAUCAUACAUUUGCCAUUAAAUUCUAAACUCAUUCGUUGUUUUUAAGUUUUUACCUACAUUUUAGAUGAACCUUGCUUGUUCCUGUGAACCAACCAGCAAGCUCCAGCUACAGCUCAGAAAGUACAAAAGGCCAUCAAACUCCAAACAGUCAUGAAACUGGAGAGGCGGACAAUGGCCCCUUCUGCUGGGAACCCUUAAAUAGGCCUCUAAGGGACUUUGACUGCUGUUUUGCCAAAAUAGCGCCCCCUGUCAGCAGGAAGCAGUUGAGAUCGGUCUUCAUCCUUAUCCUUAUUCUAAUGGCAGUUAGAUGCACUUCUUUAGAGGGGGCAAUGAGACAGCCAGGUGGGAAGGGGUCCCCAGAGAAACUCCAGCCUGUACACUGAGAGGAGUGUCCACUGGGGUGGAGCCCCAUAAGUUUGUGCCAUUUGCAGUGGGGAAGAGCCCGGCCCCUCCUCUUCCUGGGUGGAACCUGAAAUUCAAACUGCGAGGUGGGAAGCACACCAGCAGGGAGUCUGGCUUUGCAGAGGGACCAUUUCCCUCUUUCUUUUUCACCCAAUAAACUCUCCCCUCCUCAUGCUUCAAAUUGUCUGUGAGCCUAACUUUUCAUGGCCACAUGAUAAGGACUCCCAUGUCUACCUGAACUAAGGAAAAGUCCUGCAACAGUAGACUUCCCCAUUCCAUCCCUCACAGCUUCCACCACAUCCCCACACCCGUCUCCUAACACGCACACACCCCAAACGAGAACAACAGCCUGGGUUCUAAAUCAAGCUCUCUAAUUUACCAUCUAAGGGUUAUUAAGAAAGUGACUUUGCCUUUCUAUUCCGUCUUUGUCACAUAUUAUAGGGUGAGUAAAGAGGAGAAAACAAUCAACCUUCUAGAACUAAUAUGAAGAUUACAUGUCACAAAAUAAUUGCAAAGUACCAGGUACCAAAUAUAUAAUCAAUAAAUUUAGCUAAAUUUUAGUUUUAGAUACAUACUUUCUGCUAUUCUAUUCUGAUCUAAAUAAAAUUAAUUAUCUUCAGUGUUUGCAUAAUGCAGCUCUUCCUAGGGUAGCUUUCUAAUGGAUCAGAUCACUAUAGUGGACUGUGAGAAAAGGAAAUAUGGUUUGAAAGUGCCUGAAGAGCAGUCGGUGUUUGAGGAAAUGCAUAAAGCCAGAUAUUUCACAUCAGGCAGGCCCAGAUAUUCCUCUAACACAGACAAGUGCCUUCAUGCACAUCACCAGAAGGUACCUUAUUUGGCAGAAAAUUUAUCCAAAUAUGCCCCCUCCAGGAGACCAAUUCUGAAAAGGUAUCUACUGCUCUGGGCUAAAACAAUAACACAGCGCUUGGCAACUGAACCACAAGCUGGAUUUCACCCUACCUACCCCUUCAGCCUGGUUUCUUUCAGCAGAACACAGCCUGUUCAUUCUUGACCAGGGCUUUACCCUGUAAAGAUCACACCCAAAGUAUAAAUCCAAAUAUUGCUUGAGGCCUGUGUGCCCCACCCUGAUUUGCAGACCACAAACUAUUUGCUUUUAAGCAACUCAUGGAUGGAUUAAAAAGACUGCUGGGGAAGAAUUUCCUUUCACAAAAAAGGUAAUGUUUAUUUUUUUUUUCAAAUUAUAGAAGUUGAAGAUGCAACAUAUGCCAUUUUAUAAAAAAAAAAAAAAAAAA
Molecule: long non-coding RNA, 2086 nt
Organism: Rhinopithecus roxellana (golden snub-nosed monkey)
Lineage: Eukaryota; Metazoa; Chordata; Mammalia; Primates; Cercopithecidae
Exons: 2
Source: RefSeq, a predicted model, not a curated record